GGCCUUUCUGGACCUCGCCUGACUCGGCUGGGCUGUGCCUGAAAUUGACCCAGCUCCACUAGGAAUUAUGAAGAAACAAGGAGUAAGCCCAAAGCCGCUGCAAUCUUCCCGCCCCAGCCCGUCUAAGCGGCCCUGCGGGGCCUCCCCCGCCCGGGAGCGGGAGGUGGAAAAGUCGGCCCUAGGCGGCGGGAAACUGCCGGGGGGCGCCAGGAGGUCCUCCCCGGGGAGGAUCCCAAAUCUGAAAAAGCGAAAAGGCUUGGAGCUAAAGGUGGUGGCCAAGGCCCUUCUCGGCCCCUUCCAGUUCGUCUGUAAUUCCCUGGCGCAGCUCCGGGAAGAGGUGCACGAACUGCAGGCGCGGUGGUUCCCCAGCAGAACCACUCUGCAUCGCCGUCUUUGUGGCAAUUCUACAUUGGUUACAUUUAGUAACACUUUUUGAAAAUGAUCAUCAUUUCUCUCACCUCUCAUCUUUGGAACGGGAGAUGACUUUUUGCAUUGAAACGGUUAGGUUUCUUCUUCUAACGAAUUAAUUUGUGGUUUAAGAAUAGCCAGACCGAGAGGUGACAGCAUGCUGGCAGUCCUCAGAGCCCUUGCUUGCUCUCGGCACCUCCCCUGCCUGGGCUCCCGCUUUGGUGGCAUUUGAGGAGCCCUUCAGUCCCCCACUGCACUGUGGGAGCCCCUUUCUGGGCUGGCCAAGGCCGGAGCCCACUCCCUCAGCUUGCAGGGAGGUGUGGAGGGAGAGACACGAGCGGGAACCGGGGCUGUGUGCUGCACUUGCGGGCCAUCUGGAGUUCCGGGUGGGCGUGGGCUUGGUGGGCCCCGCACUCAGAGCAGCCAGCCAGCCCUGCUGGCCCCGGGCAAUGGGGGACUUAGCACCUGGGCCAGUGGCUGCGGAGGGUGUACUGAGUCCCCCAGCAGUGCUGGCCCACCGGCGCUGCGCUCGAUUUCUCGCUGGGCCUUGGCUGCCUUCCCACGGGGCAGGGCUCGGGACCUGCAGCCCGCCAUGCCUGAGCCUCCUACCCAAUCCAUGGGCUCCUGUGCGGCCUGAGCCUCCCCGACGAGCACCACCCCCUGCUCCACGGCGCCCAGUCCCAUCGACCACGCAAGGGCUGAGGAAUGCGAGCGCCCGGCACAGGACUGGCAGGCAGCUCCACCUGCAGCCCCAGUGCAGGAUCCACUAGGUGAAGCCAGCUGGGCUCCUGAGUCUGGUGGGGACGUGGAGAGUCUUUAUAUCUAGCUCAGGGAUUGUAAAUACACCAAUCAGCACCCUGUGUUUAGCUCAAGGUUUGUGAGUGCACCAGUCAACACUCUGUAUCUAGCUGCUCUGGUGAGGGCGUGGAGAGUCUUUAUGUCUAGCUCAAGGAUUGUAAAUACACCAAUCAGCACUCUGUGUCUAGCUCAAGGAUUGUAAAUACACCAAUCGGCACUCUGUAUCUAGCUCAAGGUUUGUAAACACACCAAUCAGCACCCUGUGUUUAGCUCAAGGUUUGUGAGUGCACCAGUCGACACUCUGUAUCUAGCUGCCCUGAUGGGGACGUGGAGAACCUUUGUAUCUAGCUCAGGGAUUGUAAACGCACCAAUCAGCGCCCUGACGAAACAGGCCACUCGGCUCUACCAAUCAGCAGGAUGUAGGUGGGGCCAGAUAAGAGAAUAAAAGCGGGCUGCCCGAGCCAGCAUUGGCAACCCGCUCGGGUCCCCUUCCACACUGUGGAAGCUUUGUUCUUUCGCUCUUUGCAAUAAAUCUUGCUACUGCUCACUCUUUGGGUCCACGCUGCUUUUGUGAGCUGUAACACUCACCAUGAAGAUCUGCAGCUUCACUCCUGAGCCCAGCGAGACCACGAGCCCACCGGGAGGAACGAACAACUCCAGACACGCCACCUUAAGAGCUGUAACACUCACCGCGAGGGUCCACCGCUUCAUUCUUGAAGUCAGUGAGACCAAGAACCCACCAAUUCCGGACACAAGACUAUGAGGGACUUUAUUAUUCUUACUUCAAGACCAUUAUUGAAGCACCUUCAUUUUUGGGAGGACUGUGGAUGAUUAUGAAUGACAGGCUUACUGAAUAUCCUCUUGUAAUUAAUGCAGUAAAACGCUUCCAUAUUUAUCCAGAGGUAAUCAUAGCCUCCUGGUAUCGCACAUUCAUGGGAAUAGUGAAUUUAUUUGGACUAGAAACUAAGACCUGCUGGAAUGUCACCAGAAUAGAACCUCUUAAUGAAGUUCAAAGCUGUGAAGGAUUGCGAGAUCCUGCUUGCUUUUAUGUUGGUGUAAUCUUUAUUUUAAAUGGACUAAUGAUGGGAUUGUUCUUCAUAUAUGGAACAUACCUAAGUGGUACUGAACUGGGAGGUCUUAUUACAGUACUGUGCUUCUUUUUCAACCAUGGAGAGGCCACCUGUGUGAUGUGGACACCACCUCUCCGUGAAAGUUUUUCCUAUCCUUUCCUUGUACUUCAGAUGUAUGUUUUAACUUUGAUUCUCAGAUUAGGUGAUGGAAGCUGCCCAUUCUUCAUCACCCCUUGCUACUCAUUCCCAGUUUAAUUCCUAGAAAGGACCUCAAGCAAUGAUAGAAGGCCCUUCAUUGCACUCUGUCUUUCCAAUGUUGCUUUUAUGCUUCCCUGGCAAUUUGCUCAGUUUAUACUUUUUACACAGAUAGCAUCAUUAUUUCCCAUGUAUGUUGUGGGAUACAUUGAACCAAGCAAAUUUCAGAAGAUCAUUUAUAUGAACAUGAUUUCAGUUACCCUUAGUUUCAUUUUGAUGUUUGGAAAUUCAAUGUACUUAUCUUCUUAUUAUUCUUCAUCUUUGUUAAUGACAUGGGCAAUAAUUCUAAAGAGAAAUGAAAUUCAAAAACUGGGAGUAUCUAAACUCAACUGCUGGCUAAUUCAAGGUAGUGCCUGGUGGUGUGGAACAAUCAUUUUGAAAUUUCUGACAUCUAAAAUCUUAGGCGUUUCAGACCAUAUUUGCCUGAGUGAUCUUAUAGCAGCCGGAAUCUUAAGGUAUACAGAUUUUGAUACUUUAAAAUACACCUGUUCUCCCGAAUUUGACUUCAUGGAAAAAGCGACUCUGCUGAUAUACACAAAGACAUUAUUGCUUCCAGUUGUUAUGGUGAUUACAUGUUUUAUCUUUAAAAAGACUGUUGGUGAUAUUUCGCGUGUUUUAGCUACAAACGUUUAUCUAAGAAAACAGCUCCUUGAACACAGUGAGCUGGCUUUUCACACAUUGCAGUUGUUAGCAUUUACUGCCCUUGCCAUUUUAAUUUUGAGGCUAAAGCUGUUUUUGACACAGCACAUGUGUGUUAUGGCUUCCUUGAUAUGCUCUUGACGGCUCUUUGGCUGGCUUUUUCGCAGAGUUCGCAGAGAGAAUGUUAUCUUUGGCAUUCUAACAGUGAUGUCAAUACAAGGUUAUGCAAACCUCUGUAAUCAAUGGAGCAUAACAGGAGAAUUUAAUGAUUUGCCUCAGGAAGAACUUUUACAGUGGAUCAAAUACAAUACCGUACCAGAUGCUGUCUUUGCAGGUGCCAUGCCUACAAUGGCAAGUGUCAAGCUGUCUACACUUCAUCCCAUUGUGAAUCAUCCACAUUACGAAGAUGCAGACUUGAGGGCUUGGACAAAAAUAGUUUAUUCUACAUAUAGUGGAAAAUCUGCCAAAGAAGUAAGAGAUAAAUUGUUGGAGUUACAUGUGAAUUAUUAUGUUUUAGAAGAGGCAUGGUGUGUUGUGAGAACUAAGCCUGGUUGCAGCAUGCUUGAAAUCUGGGAUGUGGAAGACCCUUCCAAUGCAGCUAACCCUCCCUUAUGUAGCGUCCUCCUUGAGCCGAGAUUGUGCCACUGCACUCCAGCCUGGGCGACAAAUCAAGACCCCGUCUCCAAAAAAAAAAAAAACAAAACUUGAUUGGGAUCCAAAAUCAUACAACUAUACACUAAAAUCAGUGAAUAUUACCUUAUGUAAAUUAAAAAUUAGGAAAUCAAAAGAAAAGCAUACAUAUAAAAAACAGUUUUUUCUAAGCA
Long non-coding RNA from Homo sapiens (human), 3994 nucleotides. Ensembl annotates it as DPY19L2 pseudogene 2. Its record names the gene DPY19L2P2. Lineage: Eukaryota; Metazoa; Chordata; Mammalia; Primates; Hominidae. The record is from Ensembl.